GGGUCAGUAGGUUGGUCGUGCCACCGGUACGUACUGGUCUCACUGAUUCCUCCUUCCUGAAGAAUCGUAAUGCCAUUAAUUUGGUGUUGCGGGGAAACAGGACUGUUACUUUGAAAAAAUUAGAGCGUUUAAAGCAAGCUAACGCUUGAAUACAUUAGCAUGGAAUAAUGAAAUAGGACGAUCGAUCCUAUUUUGUUGGUUUCUAGGAUUGACGUA
This 216-nucleotide ribosomal RNA is filed under the name Glomeromycotina sp. RNAcentral describes it as "partial small subunit ribosomal RNA". The stretch from base 40 to 216 matches the Rfam family "Eukaryotic small subunit ribosomal RNA", at positions 686 to 864 of the family's 1831-position model. Lineage: Eukaryota; Fungi; Glomeromycota. The record is from RNAcentral.